AUGUUGUACGUGGAAUCCUCUGAGAUCAGGCACCAUGACAUAUUGCUCAAAGCCAUAAAUGAUGAUUACUCUCAACAGGUGCCUGUUGUGUUGCCUGGGACAGAAAGCCUGGCAAGGUGUGAAUUCAGCUUCCGCUACCUUAAGGAACACCUGGCAGUUACUGCUGAGGAAAUGGCAGUUUAUCUCACUGGUCACUACGGCGAGCAGGUUACUCCCGCUGAGGCGUGGAGGGCAAGACAGAUGGCUCUGGAGAAGGAAUUCGGUACCUUUUAUGAUUCAUACAACUUUGCCCCGAGGUUACUCAAGGAAAUAGCACGUAAAAACCCUGGUGGUUUUGUAGACAUCAAGGAUGCAGAGGUUGCAGGGUGUAAGGAUUUUCGAGUCCUCCGGCGUAUAUUUUGGGUGUUUGGACAAUGCUUACAGGCCUUCAUUACCUGUCGCCCUGUGCUGUGCAUUAAAGGCACACCGCUAUGCGGUAAAUAUCAAGGGGCGCUGUUGACGGCCGUAGCAUUAGAUGCUAAUGAUUUCUCUGUUCCAAUAGCAUAUGCCAUCGUUGAGUGCGAGACAAAGGAAAGCUGGCUGUGGUUUCUUAGGAAUUUGGGGCGAGCAGUGGUUGAUCAAGCUGAUGUCUGCAUUAUAUUAUACACGACUACAAAAGGGAGUUGA
This 666-nucleotide ribosomal RNA is filed under the name Triticum aestivum (bread wheat). Its description in RNAcentral is "partial small subunit ribosomal RNA". The record is from RNAcentral. Lineage: Eukaryota; Viridiplantae; Streptophyta; Magnoliopsida; Poales; Poaceae.